UGAGGAAUAUUGGACAAUGGGUGAGAGCCUGAUCCAGCCAUCCCGCGUGAAGGACGACGGCCCUAUGGGUUGUAAACUUCUUUUGUAUAGGGAUAAACCUUUCCACGUGUGGAAAGCUGAAGGUACUAUACGAAUAAGCACCGGCUAACUCCGUGCCAGCAGCCGCGGUAAUACGGAGGGUGCAAGCGUUAUCCGGAUUUAUUGGGUUUAAAGGGUCCGUAGGCGGAUCUGUAAGUCAGUGGUGAAAUCUCAUAGCUUAACUAUGAAACUGCCAUUGAGACUGCAGGUCUUGAGUAAAGUAGAAGUGGCUGGAAUAAGUAGUGUAGCGGUGAAAUGCAUAGAUAUUACUUAGAACACCAAUUGCGAAGGCAGGUAACUAUGUUUUAACUGACGCUGAUGGACGAAAGCGUGGGGAGCGAACAGG
Molecule: ribosomal RNA, 424 nt
Filed under: Acidobacteriota bacterium
Lineage: Bacteria; Pseudomonadati; Acidobacteriota
Description: Acidobacteria bacterium partial 16S ribosomal RNA
Rfam family: Bacterial small subunit ribosomal RNA
Source: RNAcentral